CCUACGGGUGGCAGCAGUGGGGAAUAUUGCACAAUGGGGGAAACCCUGAUGCAGCGAUGCCGCGUGAAGGAAGAAGUAUCUCGGUAUGUAAACUUCUAUCAGCAGGGAAGAAAAUGACGGUACCUGACUAAGAAGCCCCGGCUAACUACGUGCCAGCAGCCGCGGUAAUACGUAGGGGGCAAGCGUUAUCCGGAUUUACUGGGUGUAAAGGGAGCGUAGACGGGAGUGCAAGUCUGGAGUGAAAGGCAGGGGCUCAACCCCUGGACUGCUUUGGAAACUGUAGUCCUAGAGUGCCGGAGAGGUAAGCGGAAUUCCUAGUGUAGCGGUGAAAUGCGUAGAUAUUAGGAGGAACACCAGUGGCGAAGGCGGCUUACUGGACGGUAACUGACGUUGAGGCUCGAAAGCGUGGGGAGCAAACAGGAUUAGAUACCCCUGUAGUC
Molecule: ribosomal RNA, 440 nt
Filed under: uncultured bacterium
Lineage: Bacteria
Description: bacterial SSU rRNA
Rfam family: Bacterial small subunit ribosomal RNA
Source: RNAcentral